UUAAAUUGAAGAGUUUGAUCAUGGCUCAGAUUGAACGCUGGCGGCAGGCCUAACACAUGCAAGUCGAACGGUAACAGGAAGCAGCUUGCUGCUUUGCUGACGAGUGGCGGACGGGUGAGUAAUGUCUGGGAAACUGCCCGAUGGAGGGGGAUAACUACUGGAAACGGUAGCUAAUACCGCAUAACGUCGCAAGACCAAAGAGGGGGACCUUAGGGCCUCUUGCCAUCGGAUGUGCCCAGAUGGGAUUAGCUAGUAGGUGGGGUAAUGGCUCACCUAGGCGACGAUCCCUAGCUGGUCUGAGAGGAUGACCAGCCACACUGGAACUGAGACACGGUCCAGACUCCUACGGGAGGCAGCAGUGGGGAAUAUUGCACAAUGGGCGCAAGCCUGAUGCAGCCAUGCCGCGUGUAUGAAGAAGGCCUUCGGGUUGUAAAGUACUUUCAGCGGGGAGGAAGGGAGUAAAGUUAAUACCUUUGCUCAUUGACGUUACCCGCAGAAGAAGCACCGGCUAACUCCGUGCCAGCAGCCGCGGUAAUACGGAGGG
This 544-nucleotide ribosomal RNA is filed under the name Escherichia coli. RNAcentral describes it as "bacterial SSU rRNA". It matches the Rfam family "Bacterial small subunit ribosomal RNA", at positions 1 to 532 of the family's 1533-position model. The record is from RNAcentral. Lineage: Bacteria; Pseudomonadati; Pseudomonadota; Gammaproteobacteria; Enterobacterales; Enterobacteriaceae.